This 253-nucleotide ribosomal RNA is filed under the name uncultured bacterium. RNAcentral describes it as "partial 16S ribosomal RNA". It matches the Rfam family "Bacterial small subunit ribosomal RNA", at positions 524 to 776 of the family's 1533-position model. The record is from RNAcentral.
UACGUAGGGUGCGAGCGUUAAUCGGAAUUACUGGGCGUAAAGCGUGCGCAGGCGGUUCGUUAAGUUCGAUGUGAAAGCCCCGGGCUCAACCUGGGAAUUGCAUUGGAAACUGGCGGGCUUGAGUGUGGCAGAGGGGGGUGGAAUUCCCGGUGUAGUGGUGAAAUGCGUAGAGAUCGGGAGGAACACCCGUGGCGAAGGCGGCCAACUGGGCCGGACCUGACGCUGAGGCGCGAAGGCGUGGGGAGCGAACGGG